UGUUUAAUCGCAUUCUUCUCGCUCUAACUUUUGGCGUCUUCUGCUACAUGUAUUUCCGGAAGUGACGUCACCACGAAUAUAAUCUCGUUCCAAAUCAGUUGCAGAAAUAACAGACUCAACAAUUGGACGGGAUGACCGACACUUUCGGAAACAGACUUCGCAUAAGCUGCCCUUGAAACAGAUGAUCCCUGCUCUCCCUGCCAGAGGAUGAGACGAUUACCCUGAAAACCAUUGGUCCUGACAUGGAGAUGUCGAACUCAGUCGUGGCCGUCAUUUCUUGUGCCGUCUUCAUCUCCUGGCAGUUGAUGCAGUUCUUCGAAGGGUCAUUAAACAUGGGAUUUUCAAUGAGGCAUUCCCAGUCGUAGUACUCUUGAAGAAGAAAAGGUCCAAGUGAAGACAUUAGUACAGUACGUCUUUCAUGCAUAGCUGCAAUAUUGCUUAGUGCGGUGUUGAACAAUAAACAAACAAAAACA
Haliotis rufescens (red abalone) is the source of this 473-nucleotide long non-coding RNA. RefSeq lists it as uncharacterized. The transcript has 3 exons. The record is from RefSeq and is a predicted model, not a curated record. Lineage: Eukaryota; Metazoa; Mollusca; Gastropoda; Lepetellida; Haliotidae.